RNAcentral lists this ribosomal RNA (253 nucleotides) under uncultured bacterium. Its description in RNAcentral is "partial 16S ribosomal RNA". It matches the Rfam family "Bacterial small subunit ribosomal RNA", at positions 524 to 776 of the family's 1533-position model. The record is from RNAcentral.
UACGAAGGGGGCUAGCGUUGCUCGGAAUGACUGGGCGUAGAGGGCGCGUAGGCGGUGGACACAGUCAGGCGUGAAAUCCCUGGGCUCAACCUGGGGGCUGCGUUUGAUACGUGUUUGCUAGAGUGGGGAAGAGGGUCGUGGAAUUCCCAGUGUAGAGGUGAAAUUCGUAGAUAUUGGGAAGAACACCGGUGGCGAAGGCGGCGACCUGGUCCUUGACUGACGCUGAGGCGCGAAAGCGUGGGGAGCAAACAGG